This 611-nucleotide long non-coding RNA is filed under the name Salmo salar (Atlantic salmon). RNAcentral's name for it is "lncRNA (ENSSSAG00000082137.1)". The record is from RNAcentral. Lineage: Eukaryota; Metazoa; Chordata; Actinopteri; Salmoniformes; Salmonidae.
CUGAGGUAAUGGAGACCUGUAGGGCUGAGGUAACGGAGACCUGUAGGGCUGAGGUAAUGGAGACCUGUAGGGCUGAGGUAAUGGAGACCUGUAGGGCUGAGGUAACACCAUGGGUAAUGGAGACCUGUAGGGCUGAGGUAAUGGAGACCUGUAGGGCUGAGGUAAUGGAGACCUGUAGGGCUGAGGUAACACCAUGGGUAAUGGAGACCUGUAGGGCUGAGGUAACACCAUGGGUAGGGGUAAUGGAGGCCUGUAGGGCUGAGGUAAUGGAGACCUGUAGGGCUGAGGUAAUGGAGACCUGUAGGGCUGAGGUAACACCAUGGGUAAUGGAGACCUGUAGGGCUGAGGUAACACCAUGGGUAGGGGUAAUGGAGACCUGUAGGGCUGAGGUAAUGGAGGCCUGUAGGGCUGAGGUAACACCAUUCCAAGUAACUGAAAACAGUCUGUACCUACAGAACAAGGACUGGUGGUGUCUGUCCACACAUCUACACUUCUAGAGUACAACACCCUCCAUCUACCCACCCAUCCCUAUUUCUAUCCCUUACUCACUCCCUCCAUCUACCCCUCCCUAUUUCUAUCCCUUACUCACUCCCUCCACCCAGCCCUCCCCC